RNAcentral lists this ribosomal RNA (628 nucleotides) under uncultured bacterium. RNAcentral's name for it is "bacterial SSU rRNA". The stretch from base 1 to 544 matches the Rfam family "Bacterial small subunit ribosomal RNA", at positions 338 to 873 of the family's 1533-position model. The record is from RNAcentral.
CCUACGGGAGGCAGCAGUGGGGAAUUUUGGACAAUGGGCGAAAGCCUGAUCCAGCAAUGCCGCGUGAGUGAAGAAGGCCUUCGGGUUGUAAAGCUCUUUUGUCAGGGAAGAAACGGUGAGAGCUAAUAUCUCUUGCUAAUGACGGUACCUGAAGAAUAAGCACCGGCUAACUACGUGCCAGCAGCCGCGGUAAUACGUAGGGUGCAAGCGUUAAUCGGAAUUACUGGGCGUAAAGCGUGCGCAGGCGGUUUUGUAAGUCUGUCGUGAAAUCCCCGGGCUCAACCUGGGAAUUGCGAUGGAGACUGCAAGGCUAGAAUCUGGCAGAGGGGGGUAGAAUUCCACGUGUAGCAGUGAAAUGCGUAGAGAUGUGGAGGAACACCGAUGGCGAAGGCAGCCCCCUGGGUCAAGAUUGACGCUCAUGCACGAAAGCGUGGGGAGCAAACAGGAUUAGAUACCCUGGUAGUCCACGCCCUAAACGAUGUCUACUAGUUGUCGGGUUUUAAUUACUUGGUAACGCAGUCUAACGCGUAGAAGUACGACCGCGUCGGAGGUACGGUCGCGAGAAGUAAACGUACGAAGAAAGUAGACGGACGUGAGACGUAGCGACGGACGACGACGAGGGAGGAGG